GUGCUAACUUUGGCAGCACAUAUACUAAAAUUGGGAGAAUGCGAAGAAGAUUAGCAUGGGCCCUGCACAAGGAUGACAUCCAAAUAUGUGAAAUGUUUCCAAAACAA
This is a small nuclear RNA of Pipistrellus kuhlii (Kuhl's pipistrelle), 107 nucleotides long. The record is from RefSeq and is a predicted model, not a curated record. Lineage: Eukaryota; Metazoa; Chordata; Mammalia; Chiroptera; Vespertilionidae.